Long non-coding RNA from Malaya genurostris, 698 nucleotides. RefSeq lists it as uncharacterized. The record is from RefSeq and is a predicted model, not a curated record. The transcript is spliced from 3 exons. NCBI's taxonomy places the organism in Eukaryota, Metazoa, Arthropoda, Insecta, Diptera, Culicidae.
AGCAAAAAAACCAAAACACUCCGUAAGAAGUAACUUAACACGAAAGGCAGCAACAAAUAGGUACUAUUCUCGGCACCACCAUAAAACAGUUUGAUGAAAACCGAACCCCAAACUACGCUACGAGCAUUCACUUCAGCGUGCCAAGCGUGCAGGGGGUGGCCUGUGGCAUGCAAGUCACACUAGUAUCGUAAACUUGCCGAGAUAAUACUAAACUGCACCAAACUCCACUGCACUGACUACUGCUUCAAUUGUUGCCAGCACUCACGAACGUCCAACGGUAAAGCCGGAUGAAUGAGCGGUGCGGUGCGGUGUGCCUCCUAGUGCGGUUCGGAUGUUUGUAAUACACGCCGGAUGACUUAAGGCUGUUUAAGGUUGAUUACUAUGUAUACAAACACAAAAAACGACGGUGAGACUCACCGAAGAGAACGGUGGUUGGGUUUGCCGAGUAAACUCAAGCACACAUCGCUGGUUCGGUUGAUUUGCGAUUAAAGAAAUUAGCGGCCCAGCAAGAACCAAAAUGGAGGAAGUAUAGUCUCGAGAGAAGCAAAAAUAAGACUGCCGUGGGCAAGGAAAAGUAUUGAAAUGUUGUUUCUCGUACGUAGAGUCUGCUUUUGGUACCCACGAGUCAAUCUAGGGCACUGUUCAAUUUAAGAGCCAUUGUAAAUCUUGAGUAGAAUUAUUUUAUUAUUAAUAAACGA